AUUGAACGCUGGCGGCAGGCCUAACACAUGCAAGUCGAACGGUAACAGGAAGAAGCUUGCUUCUUUGCUGACGAGUGGCGGACGGGUGAGUAAUGUCUGGGAAACUGCCUGAUGGAGGGGGAUAACUACUGGAAACGGUAGCUAAUACCGCAUAACGUCGCAAGACCAAAGAGGGGUACUUUUGGGCCUCUUGCCAUCGGAUGUGCCCAGAUGGGAUUAGCUAGUAGGUGGGGUAACGGCUGACCUAGGCGACGAUCCCUAGCUGAUCUGUGAGGAUGACCAGCCACACUGGAACUGAGACACGGUCCAGACUCCUACGGGAGGCAGCAGUGGGGAAUAUUGCACAAUGGGCGCAAGCCUGAUGCAGCCACGCCGCGUGUAUGAGGAAGGCCUUCGGGUUGUAAAGUACUUUCAGCGGGGAGGAAGGGAGUAGAGUUUAUACAUUUGCUUAUUGACGUUACCCGCAGAGGAAGCACCGGCUAACUACGUG
Molecule: ribosomal RNA, 490 nt
Filed under: uncultured bacterium
Lineage: Bacteria
Description: partial 16S ribosomal RNA
Rfam family: Bacterial small subunit ribosomal RNA
Source: RNAcentral